This 2902-nucleotide ribosomal RNA is filed under the name Escherichia coli. RNAcentral describes it as "bacterial LSU rRNA". It matches the Rfam family "Bacterial large subunit ribosomal RNA". Lineage: Bacteria; Pseudomonadati; Pseudomonadota; Gammaproteobacteria; Enterobacterales; Enterobacteriaceae. The record is from RNAcentral. RNAcentral also lists the same sequence under 1 other name.
UUAAGCGACUAAGCGUACACGGUGGAUGCCCUGGCAGUCAGAGGCGAUGAAGGACGUGCUAAUCUGCGAUAAGCGUCGGUAAGGUGAUAUGAACCGUUAUAACCGGCGAUUUCCGAAUGGGGAAACCCAGUGUGUUUCGACACACUAUCAUUAACUGAAUCCAUAGGUUAAUGAGGCGAACCGGGGGAACUGAAACAUCUAAGUACCCCGAGGAAAAGAAAUCAACCGAGAUUCCCCCAGUAGCGGCGAGCGAACGGGGAGCAGCCCAGAGCCUGAAUCAGUGUGUGUGUUAGUGGAAGCGUCUGGAAAGGCGCGCGAUACAGGGUGACAGCCCCGUACACAAAAAUGCACAUGCUGUGAGCUCGAUGAGUAGGGCGGGACACGUGGUAUCCUGUCUGAAUAUGGGGGGACCAUCCUCCAAGGCUAAAUACUCCUGACUGACCGAUAGUGAACCAGUACCGUGAGGGAAAGGCGAAAAGAACCCCGGCGAGGGGAGUGAAAAAGAACCUGAAACCGUGUACGUACAAGCAGUGGGAGCACGCUUAGGCGUGUGACUGCGUACCUUUUGUAUAAUGGGUCAGCGACUUAUAUUCUGUAGCAAGGUUAACCGAAUAGGGGAGCCGAAGGGAAACCGAGUCUUAACUGGGCGUUAAGUUGCAGGGUAUAGACCCGAAACCCGGUGAUCUAGCCAUGGGCAGGUUGAAGGUUGGGUAACACUAACUGGAGGACCGAACCGACUAAUGUUGAAAAAUUAGCGGAUGACUUGUGGCUGGGGGUGAAAGGCCAAUCAAACCGGGAGAUAGCUGGUUCUCCCCGAAAGCUAUUUAGGUAGCGCCUCGUGAAUUCAUCUCCGGGGGUAGAGCACUGUUUCGGCAAGGGGGUCAUCCCGACUUACCAACCCGAUGCAAACUGCGAAUACCGGAGAAUGUUAUCACGGGAGACACACGGCGGGUGCUAACGUCCGUCGUGAAGAGGGAAACAACCCAGACCGCCAGCUAAGGUCCCAAAGUCAUGGUUAAGUGGGAAACGAUGUGGGAAGGCCCAGACAGCCAGGAUGUUGGCUUAGAAGCAGCCAUCAUUUAAAGAAAGCGUAAUAGCUCACUGGUCGAGUCGGCCUGCGCGGAAGAUGUAACGGGGCUAAACCAUGCACCGAAGCUGCGGCAGCGACGCUGAUGCGUUGUUGGGUAGGGGAGCGUUCUGUAAGCCUGCGAAGGUGUGCUGUGAGGCAUGCUGGAGGUAUCAGAAGUGCGAAUGCUGACAUAAGUAACGAUAAAGCGGGUGAAAAGCCCGCUCGCCGGAAGACCAAGGGUUCCUGUCCAACGUUAAUCGGGGCAGGGUGAGUCGACCCCUAAGGCGAGGCCGAAAGGCGUAGUCGAUGGGAAACAGGUUAAUAUUCCUGUACUUGGUGUUACUGCGAAGGGGGGACGGAGAAGGCUAUGUUGGCCGGGCGACGGUUGUCCCGGUUUAAGCGUGUAGGCUGGUUUUCCAGGCAAAUCCGGAAAAUCAAGGCUGAGGCGUGAUGACGAGGCACUACGGUGCUGAAGCAACAAAUGCCCUGCUUCCAGGAAAAGCCUCUAAGCAUCAGGUAACAUCAAAUCGUACCCCAAACCGACACAGGUGGUCAGGUAGAGAAUACCAAGGCGCUUGAGAGAACUCGGGUGAAGGAACUAGGCAAAAUGGUGCCGUAACUUCGGGAGAAGGCACGCUGAUAUGUAGGUGAAGCGACUUGCUCGUGGAGCUGAAAUCAGUCGAAGAUACCAGCUGGCUGCAACUGUUUAUUAAAAACACAGCACUGUGCAAACACGAAAGUGGACGUAUACGGUGUGACGCCUGCCCGGUGCCGGAAGGUUAAUUGAUGGGGUUAGCGCAAGCGAAGCUCUUGAUCGAAGCCCCGGUAAACGGCGGCCGUAACUAUAACGGUCCUAAGGUAGCGAAAUUCCUUGUCGGGUAAGUUCCGACCUGCACGAAUGGCGUAAUGAUGGCCAGGCUGUCUCCACCCGAGACUCAGUGAAAUUGAACUCGCUGUGAAGAUGCAGUGUACCCGCGGCAAGACGGAAAGACCCCGUGAACCUUUACUAUAGCUUGACACUGAACAUUGAGCCUUGAUGUGUAGGAUAGGUGGGAGGCUUUGAAGUGUGGACGCCAGUCUGCAUGGAGCCGACCUUGAAAUACCACCCUUUAAUGUUUGAUGUUCUAACGUUGACCCGUAAUCCGGGUUGCGGACAGUGUCUGGUGGGUAGUUUGACUGGGGCGGUCUCCUCCUAAAGAGUAACGGAGGAGCACGAAGGUUGGCUAAUCCUGGUCGGACAUCAGGAGGUUAGUGCAAUGGCAUAAGCCAGCUUGACUGCGAGCGUGACGGCGCGAGCAGGUGCGAAAGCAGGUCAUAGUGAUCCGGUGGUUCUGAAUGGAAGGGCCAUCGCUCAACGGAUAAAAGGUACUCCGGGGAUAACAGGCUGAUACCGCCCAAGAGUUCAUAUCGACGGCGGUGUUUGGCACCUCGAUGUCGGCUCAUCACAUCCUGGGGCUGAAGUAGGUCCCAAGGGUAUGGCUGUUCGCCAUUUAAAGUGGUACGCGAGCUGGGUUUAGAACGUCGUGAGACAGUUCGGUCCCUAUCUGCCGUGGGCGCUGGAGAACUGAGGGGGGCUGCUCCUAGUACGAGAGGACCGGAGUGGACGCAUCACUGGUGUUCGGGUUGUCAUGCCAAUGGCACUGCCCGGUAGCUAAAUGCGGAAGAGAUAAGUGCUGAAAGCAUCUAAGCACGAAACUUGCCCCGAGAUGAGUUCUCCCUGACUCCUUGAGAGUCCUGAAGGAACGUUGAAGACGACGACGUUGAUAGGCCGGGUGUGUAAGCGCAGCGAUGCGUUGAGCUAACCGGUACUAAUGAACCGUGAGGCUUAACCUU